CGCCUCUUGCCAAACAACACGUAUAAGAGGUCCAGCCUGCCCAGUGACUAUAUGUUCAACGGCCGCGGUAUUCUGACCGUGCAAAGGUAGCGUAAUCACUUGUCUUUUAAAUAAAGACUGGUAUGAAUGGCACCACGAAGGUUCAACUGUCUCCUGCAUCCAAUCCAUUAAACUGACCUCCCCGUGCAGAGGCGGGGAUAUACCCAUAAGACGAGAAGACCCUAUGGAGCUUUAAACUUACGGCAACUGCUAAACAAUCCAACCCCACACGGGAAAACAGACAAUUAAGCAACAAUGACCUAAAGUUUUCGGUUGGGGCGACCACGGAGAAAAAAAAAUCCUCCUUGAUGUACGGGGCCUUACCCUCUUAACCAAGAACGACAGUUCUAAGUAACAAAACAUUUGACCACUAUUGAUCCAGUCCAACUGAUCAACGAACCAAGUUACCCUAGGGAUAACAGCGCAAUCCAUUUCGAAAGUUCCUAUCGACAAAUGGGUUUACGACCUCGAUGUUGGAUCAGGGCAUCCCAGUGGUGCAGCCGCUACUAAAGGUUCGUUUGUUCAACGAUUAAAGCCCUACGUGAUCUGAGUUCAGACCGGAGUAAUCCAGGUCAGUUUCUAUCUAUGCAGUAUUUUCUCUAGUACGAAAGGACCGAGAAAAUGAGGUCUAUGUCACAAACAAACCUCCUCCCUUAUCAAUGAAAACAACUUAAUUGAAUAAAGGACUAACAACUUCAGCCCAAGAUAAGGGCUA
RNAcentral lists this ribosomal RNA (754 nucleotides) under Xenopus tropicalis (tropical clawed frog). Its description in RNAcentral is "partial 16S ribosomal RNA". It matches the Rfam family "Bacterial large subunit ribosomal RNA", at positions 1816 to 2925 of the family's 2925-position model. Lineage: Eukaryota; Metazoa; Chordata; Amphibia; Anura; Pipidae. The record is from RNAcentral.